This 77-nucleotide transfer RNA is filed under the name Nitrospira sp. RNAcentral describes it as "tRNA-Met". It matches the Rfam family "tRNA". From Rfam's summary of the family: Transfer RNA (tRNA) molecules are approximately 80 nucleotides in length. Lineage: Bacteria; Pseudomonadati; Nitrospirota; Nitrospiria; Nitrospirales; Nitrospiraceae. The record is from RNAcentral. RNAcentral also lists the same sequence under 6 other names.
CGCGGGGUGGAGCAGUCUGGUAGCUCGUCGGGCUCAUAACCCGAAGGUCGCAGGUUCAAAUCCUGUCCCCGCUACCA